GUGGGAGUAGCUCAGUUUUGGUUAGAGCAACCGAUUGCAAUUUUAUAUUUGUAAUCAUCGGUAGGUCGUGGGUUCGAAUCCCACUUCCCACU
RNAcentral lists this transfer RNA (92 nucleotides) under Cryptococcus deneoformans. RNAcentral's name for it is "tRNA-Cys". It matches the Rfam family "tRNA". Rfam says of the family: Transfer RNA (tRNA) molecules are approximately 80 nucleotides in length. The record is from RNAcentral. RNAcentral also lists the same sequence under 1 other name. Lineage: Eukaryota; Fungi; Basidiomycota; Tremellomycetes; Tremellales; Cryptococcaceae.